AUACUUCACAUUUGAAGCUGGGGAAAGCUAACCACUCGAAAACGCUGCUCCAGGGGCCUCCCGUGGUCCUCAAGUCUCCAGUCCCCAGCAAGGCAGAAGGAAGAAAUCUCCUUUCUGUGUGGAAAUAGAAACACUCUCGUGGGUGCCGUCUCUGGAAAUUCUCAGUCCAAGCACAGGCUAAGUAUGGCAGCCUCUGUAAGUAGGAGGCUGUCUCUGAGUGGCUAAAAUCUUACAUGGCAAACAUGGGUUCCCCGUGGAGGCUGCUUUGCCUAAUGGGUUGAAGUCUUGAAAAGUCUGAGCUGAAAGGAAAGAGGGACAGGAAAGAUGACCUGCAAGACAUUUCUCAGUUUUUUUAGACCUAUUUGGUUCCUGAUGGGCAAACAGUUUGACCAGUUGGUUGCAGCACUAAGGAAUAAGGGGCCCUGCACUCAGUUCCCAGCAACCUUGUCAUGGAGCUCAGAAUCACCCAUAACUCCAACUUCAGGGGAACCCAAUGCCUCUGACCUCCGUGGGCACCCACACUCACAAGGACACACCCACUCUGAUGUCCUAGCUGCCUGGAAGCCAGUGUUCUGCUUGAGGCCUUCAGAUGAAGAUGUAAAACUCUCACCUCUUCCUGCACCAUGCCUGCCUGGAUGCUGCCAUGUUUGUGCCUUGAUGAUAAUGGACUGAACCUCUGAACCUGAAAAAGAAUAAGAUGAUUACUGAUAUCCUGUGCUACAGCAGGCACUGGAAGGCCGUAUGGCUCCAGCGGGGUCUUCUCAGCUUGGUGGUCUCUCUUGGUUUGGAGCUCCUGGAACAUCUGUACUAGACUCGCUAAGUUCCCUUGGUGGGUCAUCGACAUGCCAGCCCCAUGUAAUGACUUCCCACCCCGUGGUCAGCUGUCACAAUGCCCAGCAACCUGGUUGAAACAAAACUCCAGAAACUUAUAAUUAAUCAAUUAGAAUUAUAUAUCAAUAAACUCUCAAUCCACAGGAUGCCC
Mus musculus (house mouse) is the source of this 982-nucleotide long non-coding RNA. RefSeq annotates it as predicted gene 1968. Lineage: Eukaryota; Metazoa; Chordata; Mammalia; Rodentia; Muridae. The transcript is spliced from 6 exons. The record is from RefSeq and is marked validated.